GUCUACGGCGAUGCCAUUCUGAACAAGCCCGAUGUCUGAUCUUGGAGCUGAGCAGGGUUGAGACUGGUUAGUACUUGGAUGGGAGACCACCUAGGAAGACCAGGUGCUGUAGGCA
RNAcentral lists this ribosomal RNA (115 nucleotides) under Pteropus alecto (black flying fox). The record is from RNAcentral. Lineage: Eukaryota; Metazoa; Chordata; Mammalia; Chiroptera; Pteropodidae.